Molecule: ribosomal RNA, 253 nt
Filed under: uncultured bacterium
Lineage: Bacteria
Description: partial 16S ribosomal RNA
Rfam family: Bacterial small subunit ribosomal RNA
Source: RNAcentral
UACGUAGGGGGCUAGCGUUGUCCGGAAUCAUUGGGCGUAAAGCGCGUGUAGGCGGUCCGGUAAGUCCGCUGUGAAAGUCGGGGGCUCAACCCUCGGAUGCCGGUGGAUACUGUCGGGCUUGAGUACGGAAGAGGCGAGUGGAAUUACUGGUGUAGCGGUGAAAUGCGCAGAUAUCAGGAGGAACACCAAUUGCGAAGGCAGCUCGCUGGGACGUUACUGACGCUGAGACGCGAAAGCGUGGGGAGCAAACAGG